RNAcentral lists this ribosomal RNA (433 nucleotides) under uncultured bacterium. Its description in RNAcentral is "partial 16S ribosomal RNA". It matches the Rfam family "Bacterial small subunit ribosomal RNA", at positions 29 to 507 of the family's 1533-position model. The record is from RNAcentral.
AACGAACGCUGGCGGCAUGCCUAACACAUGCAAGUCGAACGAAACCUUCGGGUCUAGUGGCGCACGGGGGCGUAGCGCGUGGGAACCUGCCCUUAGGUUCGGAAUAACUCUCCGAAAGGGGUGCUAAUACCGGAUAAGGUCUUCUGACCAAAGAUUUAUCGCCUUUGGAUGGGCCCGCGUGGGAUUAGCUCGUUGGUAGGGUAAUAGCCUACCAAGGCGACGAUCCAUAGCUGGUCUGAGAGGAUGAUCAGCCACACUGGGACUGAGACACGGCCCAGACUCCUACGGGAGGCAGCAGUGGGGAAUAUUGGACAAUGGGCGAAAGCCUGAUCCAGCAAUGCCGCGUGAGUGAUGAAGGCCUUAGGGUUGUAAAGCUCUUUUACCCGGGAGGAUAAUGACAGUACCGGGAGAAUAAGCUCCGGCUAACUCCGUG